Epinephelus lanceolatus (giant grouper) is the source of this 456-nucleotide long non-coding RNA. RefSeq lists it as uncharacterized. The record is from RefSeq and is a predicted model, not a curated record. NCBI's taxonomy places the organism in Eukaryota, Metazoa, Chordata, Actinopteri, Perciformes, Serranidae.
GUUGCUUCGUGCCUUGCUUUCCAGUCAGCUGAACCUGAACCCUAAAAUCUGAAAGCCAUACCUGCCUAUCAUCAGGGUCAGAUGAUGAACCAAGAAGUUUGACGACGCUGAGAAGAAUAAAAGGAAGUCGCAGUGCCAGGUGAACAAGGUGACAGCAGGGUGACGGUCACAUGAUCCUGCUUCUCCAUCAAAAUUGGCUUCAUCGGCACUUCCGCUACAUGCUGACAGAAGCUGGUCCAUGACUCGGAGCUCCGGGGCCCAAACAGAUGACCGCGCAGAGGCCCUGUUUGCUGUAAUGAUGUCAGUAUAACCGUGUUUCCAUUACCUUACAUAGUGCUGCAGAGGAAGUCCGAUUUUUCCUCUGUUGUCCAGGGCAAAGCCGGAGCACAGUGUCAAACUGAUUGCCCAACAGACUCCAGCCGGCUGAAGCUCCUCCAGUUAACGUUGCCAGCUGCC